RNAcentral lists this ribosomal RNA (483 nucleotides) under Yarrowia parophoni. RNAcentral describes it as "Yarrowia parophonii partial large subunit ribosomal RNA". It matches the Rfam family "Eukaryotic large subunit ribosomal RNA", at positions 86 to 655 of the family's 3401-position model. The record is from RNAcentral. Lineage: Eukaryota; Fungi; Ascomycota; Dipodascomycetes; Dipodascales.
ACGGCGAGUGAAGCGGCAAAAGCUCAAAUUUGAAACCUUCGGGAUUGUAAUUUGAAGAUUUGGCAUUGGAGAAAGCUAACCCAAGUUACUUGGAAUAGUACGUCAUAGAGGGUGACAACCCCGUCUGGCUAACCGUUCUCCAUGUAUUGCCUUAUCAAAGAGUCGAGUUGUUUGGGAAUGCAGCUCAAAGUGGGUGGUAAACUCCAUCUAAAGCUAAAUACUGGUGAGAGACCGAUAGCGAACAAGUACUGUGAAGGAAAGGUGAAAAGAACUUUGAAAAGAGAGUGAAAUAGUAUGUGAAAUUGUUGAUAGGGAAGGAAAUGAGCGGAGAGUGGUUGAGGUUUCAGCGCACCCUUGGGUGCGUGUAUUGCCGACGCCGAGUCAUUGACAGCGAGACGGGGGCUACAAACAGGUUGCUCUUGAGCUUCCCACCUAUCCCCCCCACUGCCGCCAACGACAUAAUCCGCCCAUUUCACCCGUCUU